UACGUAGGUGGCAAGCGUUGUCCGGAUUUAUUGGGUUUAAAGGGUGCGUAGGCGGUCUUUUAAGUCAGUGCUGAAAUACUCCAGCUUAACUGGAGGGGUGGCAUUGAUACUGGAAGACUUGAGUGCAGUCGAGGUAGGCGGAAUUGACGGUGUAGCGGUGAAAUGCUUAGAUAUUGGGAGGAACACCAGUGGCGAAGGCGGCUCACUGGACCGGUACUGACGCUGAUGCGCGAAAGCGUGGGGAGCAAACGGG
RNAcentral lists this ribosomal RNA (253 nucleotides) under uncultured bacterium. RNAcentral describes it as "partial 16S ribosomal RNA". It matches the Rfam family "Bacterial small subunit ribosomal RNA", at positions 524 to 776 of the family's 1533-position model. The record is from RNAcentral.